This 805-nucleotide ribosomal RNA is filed under the name Cudonia circinans. Its description in RNAcentral is "mitochondrial SSU rRNA". It matches the Rfam family "Bacterial small subunit ribosomal RNA", at positions 1 to 1186 of the family's 1533-position model. The record is from RNAcentral. Lineage: Eukaryota; Fungi; Ascomycota; Leotiomycetes; Rhytismatales; Cudoniaceae.
CUUGGGAGAAUGUAUAGUCCUCUUAUGAGGCUAGUUAUGUUUUUGAGUAGUAAUGCACCUGGAUGGGGUUACACAAUAAAACAUAAUACCAACUACGUUGGAUAAAGUUCUAGAUAGAAUACUGAUUAUGACUAUUUUCUAUCUACAUGUCUUGACCAAAUUACGUGCCAGCCGUCGCGGUAAUACGUAGAAGACUAGUGUUAUUCAUCUUUAAUAGGUUUAAAGGGUACCUAGACGGUAUUACUAACCCAAACAGGGAAAUAGUUUUGCUAGAGUUUAAUAUGAGAAGGCGAGUAUUUACGGAGUAGAGAUAAAAUUCUUUGAUACUUUAAGGACUGGUAAAGGCGAAAGCAACCUUCUAUGUAAUAACUGACGUUGAGGGACGAAGGCUUGGAUAGCGAACAGGAUUAGAUACCCUAGUAGUCUUUGCAGAAAAUGAUGAAUGCCAUAGACUAGACUUGUUUUGGUCUAUAAAUGAAAGUGUAAGCAUUCCACCUCAAGAGUAAUGUGGCAACGCAGGAACUGAAAUCAUUAGACCGUUUCUGAGAACAGUAGUGAAGUAUGUUGCUUAAUUCGAUGACCCUCGAAAAACCUUACCACAACUUGAAUGAUGUCAUCUGUAGAUUAAGGUAAUAUAGAUACCUUAAUUAAGGUGGUGUUACAAGUGUUGCACGGUUGUCUUCAGCUAAUGUCGUGAGAUUUUGGUUAGUUCCAUAAAAUUAGCGUAAACCCUGGCUUUAUUUUUAAAUUAUUAUCAUAAAGCAGUUCAUCACUAUAUUGAAUAUAUGAUAACUGGGAUCAAGAC